GAAACCGAGGCCUGGUGUGUCUGCGCUCUCGGGCGCGGGUUGCAAAGGUGCCUCCGCUUUACGCAGACCCGAGGAGCCGGGGCUCGAAGGCGGAUUGCCCGGGACCAACAUGCGCAGAGCAUGGGAGACCCCGGUCCUUCUCCCAAGCAGCCGGGAGGGGUGGGUCUGGGCUAUUCGUGCCCCGGUCCCGCACCCCCAACGUCCCACCCAUUCCCGUGCAUCCGCUGGCCCUUUGUCCCAGGCUCUGGAAAAGGCACUGAGGCCUUACAAAGGAUGGUCCUUCCAUCGGAGAAGAACCGCCCGUCAUCCUGAAAUUGCCUAAAUACACAAAGCGGAGGGAAACUAACUGGAAGAACUUUGAGCAUAAUCAAACUGAAACAAUAAUACGAAAAUGACAGAGGACAGGCCAAUUUGUUCUAAGAAGUCCUUUCAAAUGAGGGCAGUGAUCUAAGAGGUGGUAUCAGCCCCAAACUUCACAUAAAAUACCCUCUUCUGAAAAAGUUGGGGAAAAGGCAGCACAAGGUGCUAACGAUAUUUUGCCAACAGGAGAGGAGAGAAAAGGAGCAAUAGCAAAUGGGAAUGUCUCCCUGCUCAUGGCAUCACCACACAAUAAUCCACCUUUGUCUAGUAAAAUUCUUGCUUACAAAUAAAAUCAAUACUAUUCACUUUAAACAAACAUAAAGAUAAUGACCUACGUGGAAUUAAACCAGCACUGAGUCUUUAAACACUUUCAUGUUUGUAUUGCACAAAAGUGGUUAAGAAACUGUUCACUAGCUUUUAUGGUAAAUAGCUUACCAAAGUCCUAGGGUGAAAAGAAGUCCUACCCUCGAGAUAUGGAACUGUACCAUUAUCACAGAAGAAUACCGCUCAUGUUACCUUCUUGAAUCCCCUCUCAAUCAUUGCUCUGUCCUCCACCUCCACAAAUUUGUCGUUUCGAGACUGUGCUAUUAAUGGGAGCAUACAGUAUGUAAUGUUUCAAGAUUGAUUUUUUUUUUUUAUUAAGCAUACUGCCCUUGAGGUUCAUCCAGAGUAUUGCCUGUAUCAAUAGUUCAUUCCUUUUUAUUGCUGAGUAAAUUUCUAUUAUAUGGA
Molecule: long non-coding RNA, 1089 nt
Organism: Tupaia belangeri chinensis (Chinese tree shrew)
Lineage: Eukaryota; Metazoa; Chordata; Mammalia; Scandentia; Tupaiidae
Exons: 2
Source: RefSeq, a predicted model, not a curated record